UCUAAAAAAAGUUUGAAUGUA
Molecule: non-coding RNA, 21 nt
Filed under: Caenorhabditis elegans
Lineage: Eukaryota; Metazoa; Nematoda; Chromadorea; Rhabditida; Rhabditidae
Source: RNAcentral